AUUGAACGCUGGCGGCAUGCCUUACACAUGCAAGUCGAACGGCAGCACGGGAGCAAUCCUGGUGGCGAGUGGCGAACGGGUGAGUAAUAUAUCGGAACGUGCCCAGUAGUGGGGGAUAACUGCUCGAAAGAGCGGCUAAUACCGCAUACGACCUGAGGGUGAAAGCGGGGGAUCGCAAGACCUCGCGCUAUUGGAGCGGCCGAUAUCAGAUUAGCUAGUUGGUGGGGUAAAGGCCUACCAAGGCGACGAUCAGUAGCUGGUCUGAGAGGACGAUCAGCCAAACUGGGACUGAGACACGGCCCAGACUCCUACGGGAGGCAGCAGUGGGGAAUUUUGGACAAUGGGCGAAAGCCUGAUUCAGCAAUGCCGCGUGUGUGAAGAAGGCCUUCGGGUUGUAAAGCACUUUUGUCCGGAAAGAAAUGGCUCUGGUUAAUACCUGGGGUCGAUGACGGUACCGGAAGAAUAAGGACCGGCUAACUACGUGCCAGCAGCCGCAGUAA
RNAcentral lists this ribosomal RNA (500 nucleotides) under uncultured bacterium. Its description in RNAcentral is "partial 16S ribosomal RNA". It matches the Rfam family "Bacterial small subunit ribosomal RNA", at positions 29 to 523 of the family's 1533-position model. The record is from RNAcentral.